This 428-nucleotide ribosomal RNA is filed under the name uncultured bacterium. Its description in RNAcentral is "bacterial SSU rRNA". It matches the Rfam family "Bacterial small subunit ribosomal RNA", at positions 335 to 777 of the family's 1533-position model. The record is from RNAcentral.
ACUCCUACGGGAGGCAGCAGUGGGAAUCUUAGACAAUGGGGGAAACCCUGAUCUAGCCAUGCCGCGUGAGCGAUGAAGGCCUUAGGGUUGUAAAGCUCUUUCAGCUGGGAAGAUAAUGACGGUACCAGGCAGAAGAAGCCCCGGCUAACUUCCGUGCCAGCAGCCGCGGUAAAUACGGAGGGGCGUAGCGUUGUUCGGAAUUACUGGGCGUAAAGCGCACGUAGGCGGAUUGGUAAGUUGGGGGUGAAAUCCCGGGGCUCAACCCCGGAACUGCCUCCAAAACUCCCAGUCUUGAGGUCGAGAGAGGUGAGUGGAAUUCCGAGUGUAGAGGUGAAAUUCGUAGAUAUUCGGAGGAACGACCAGUGGCGAAGGCGGCUCACUGGCUCGAUACUGACGCUGAGGUGCGAAAGCGUGGGGAGCAAACCAGG